ACCAUCCUUUUCAUGGGGUCGCGUUACUGCCCAAUGAACGUCUAGUGAGGACAGUACUGCUAACGCCUACACACACACACAAAAGAGAGGCCUUGUGCUCAGGGACUAGACGAUUUCUGAGGUC
Vombatus ursinus (common wombat) is the source of this 124-nucleotide small nuclear RNA. The record is from Ensembl. Lineage: Eukaryota; Metazoa; Chordata; Mammalia; Diprotodontia; Vombatidae.